UUAGUCUUAUAAUUGAAGACUGGGAUGAAAGGAUAAACUAGAAAGCCUCUUUUUUAACUAUUCUUUUUAAACUUUACUUUUUAGUAAAAAGGCUAAAAUGUGUCUUUCAGACAAGAAGACCCUAUAAAACUUUACAUAUAACAAUUUAAAAAAUUAGAAAUAUGUUUUACUGGGGCGGUAAGAGGAUAAAACACCUUAAAAACAUCAAAGAUAAUAUAAUUUUAAGACCCAAAACUUUUGAAAAUUAAAUAAGCUACUUUAGGGAUAACAGCGUAAUAUGUUUUGAAAGCUCAAAUUGACAAACGUGUUUGCGACCUCGAUGUUGGAUUAACUCUCCUUUACUGUGCAAGAGCAG
RNAcentral lists this ribosomal RNA (355 nucleotides) under Centruroides baracoae. RNAcentral's name for it is "partial large subunit ribosomal RNA". It matches the Rfam family "Archaeal large subunit ribosomal RNA", at positions 2045 to 2633 of the family's 2987-position model. The record is from RNAcentral. Lineage: Eukaryota; Metazoa; Arthropoda; Arachnida; Scorpiones; Buthidae.